RNAcentral lists this long non-coding RNA (1076 nucleotides) under Anolis carolinensis (green anole). RNAcentral describes it as "lncRNA (ENSACAG00000039687.1)". Lineage: Eukaryota; Metazoa; Chordata; Lepidosauria; Squamata; Anolidae. The record is from RNAcentral.
AUGAUAGAAUCAUACAAUUGGAAAAGGUUGUUCUGCUCUUGCAGUAAAAAUUCUUCUUUGGACCUCAUCACAGGCAAUGUGGGCUCCACUACCAUGUGCUGUGGAAACAGAGUCCCACAGAGACCAUCACAUUAUGUAAGGACACUUUCGGUGGGACUCUGCAGGACUCUGUUUCUGCGGCACAUGGAAAUUGAGCCCAAAUGGCAAAAGAGGGGAAAAGAUAGGGAAAGGAUGUGCGGUAGCUGGCCAUCCUAAAAGACAGGUCUUGACGGUAGGGAACCAAGUAAGAUGGUUCCCUCCGCUUUCCCCUACUCCCCGCGCCCCCCAACACACACUCAUGAGAUGAGGUCCUUAAUGUUUAGUCAGAAUCUCCUUUCUUGUAAUUGGAAUCUAUUGAUUUGUGUUCUAAUCUCUGGAGCAGCAGGAAGCAAUUCCUUGAACAUGGCAUCCCUCAGGUAUUUAAAUAAGGCUCUCAUAUUACCUCUCAGUGUUCCCUUCUCUCAGUAAAACAUCUUCAACAUCUUAAUCAAUGACUUAGAUGAAGGCAGGGGAUGAGGAAUCCUUAGCAAGUCAGUAGGCGAGUUAUUUAAGAUAGAUGGUUGGCACUUCAGAGAACAGGAAUAAUAUUCAAAACAAUCUUAAUGGAAUGGAAAAGAGAUCCAAAACUAACAAAAUUGGUUCAGAGACAAUUGAGUUAUGAGCUCCGCUUGGAGAGAGGGGUGGGGAGAGAAUCAAAUGCAGAUGUUUGGGGUGACUGAUAGCUGGAUUGGCAUUAUAUGUACAAAAGAGUUUGGAAUUGCAUUUGAUCGAGCUUGAAUAAAUCAAUAAGAUUGUGUAGUUUCCAAAAAUCCCAAGCUCUAAUACAAAUUUAGGGCUCCUUAACAGAUGAAAAUGACCAACUCUUGGAAAGUAAUAGUUAUAUUUUAUUCUAGUCCUGUCUCAUCUGGAGUGUUAUGUUAAUUCCUUAAUGCCAUGUCCUAAGAAGGACAUAGAUAAAUUAGAAUAAAUUCAGAAGAAACGAUGACAAGUUCUGUGAGAAAAGCUUGAAGAGACUGGAUUCAUCUUGAUUGGAGGGG